UGGGGAAUCUUCCGCAAUGGACGAAAGUCUGACGGAGCAACGCCGCGUGAGUGAAGAAGGUUUUCGGAUCGUAAAACUCUGUCUUUUGGGGCGAACGUGAGUAUGGUGAACAAUCAUAGUCAGUGACGGUACCAAAGGAGGAAGCCACGGCUAACUACGUGCCAGCAGCCGCGGUAAUACGUAGGUGGCAAGCGUUGUCCGGAAUUAUUGGGCGUAAAGAGCGCGUAGGCGGGAUAGUCAGUCUGUUGUAAAAGUGCGGGGCUCAACCCCGUGAUGGCAAUGGAAACAGCUAUUCUUGAGUGCAGGAGAGGAAAGUGGAAUUCCCAGUGUAGCGGUGAAAUGCGUAGAUAUUGGGAGGAACACCAGUGGCGAAGGCGACUUUCUGAACUGUGUCUGACGCUGAGGCGCGAAAGCCAGGGGAGCGAACGGGAUUAGAUACCCCGGUAGUCCUGGCCGUAAACGAUGGGUACUAGGUGUGGGGGGUAUCGACCCCUUCCGUGCCGGAGUUAACGCAAUAAGUACCCCGCCUGGGGAGUACGGUCGCAAGACUGAAACUCAAAUGAAUUGACGGGGUCAUAGCUGUUU
This 585-nucleotide ribosomal RNA is filed under the name uncultured bacterium. RNAcentral describes it as "partial 16S ribosomal RNA". It matches the Rfam family "Bacterial small subunit ribosomal RNA", at positions 355 to 935 of the family's 1533-position model. The record is from RNAcentral.